This is a non-coding RNA of Rattus norvegicus (Norway rat), 956 nucleotides long. NCBI's taxonomy places the organism in Eukaryota, Metazoa, Chordata, Mammalia, Rodentia, Muridae. The record is from RefSeq and is a predicted model, not a curated record.
UGACUCUAAAAAUAACACACACACAUAUACAUAUAUAGAUAUAGAUAUAUAGAUAUGUAUUCAUACAUUUAAUUUGAAAAGUCAAGAGGGGUACUGGUUUUAGACUCAAUAAGAUUUAUGAAGUAAGUCUUUAUUUAAGAAUUAAGUGUCUGAAUUCCCCAAAUAUCAUCAACUCAAUCAUUCCUUCCUUCCACAAACAUGAGCAAAGAAACACACUCAAAUGUUUAUGUCUAUUUAUGCCCUCAAAUAGGUAUACAUUAAAACAUGGAAAGGGCACAAUGACAGAAGAUACCUACCCAAAGCAUUCUGAAUAGGAAAAUAAUUAUUUAUAUGGGUGAAGAAACCCCAGUCAAUCAGCCAACAGCUUCACUCUUAUGUAGAUCUUGAUGGCAUGUUAUGGCUGUCCAGCUGACACAAGGUAACAACUAAAACAUAAAGAUUGGUCAUUAAGAUGGUUUGGAAAACUUGCCCAGUAAAGAAGUGGAUACUAUCCAGUCAUCCUGAGAAAGCUGUCUGUUGUUUUGGAGAGAGAAAGUAGUGGCACGACUUGGGACUGGAGGACAGGAGCCAGUUGGAAGCAGAAACACAAAUGAAGAUGAGAGAAGAUUCCGAAGAACAUGUUUUUUUCCCCCUCUGUGGCUUUAAGAAAAACCAUUGAAAGGUGCCCUUCCCAAGGAGAACUUAAGAAGGAGAUAAGGAGGUGCCUAAAGAGAGGGGGGUCCUGUUUUCUCUACCACAGGAACUCUGGCUUUGUCUUCAGUGAGUGAACAAUGAGGGAUGACACCCAUCAGAACACAUCAAAAUGUCCUGAGUCAGAGAGGCCACUCACUGAGAGGAGCUCAGAGCCAAGGGCUUGUCCCUCACUGAGUCGUUUAGCAUGAUCACAAGCACAGCAGUUUUAAAAGAAUUCUAUUUUUAAAAUUAAAUGUAAUUAAAAUUUUAGAAGAAGCCUCUCA